AUAUAAAAAAGAAAAUGUGGUAUGAUUGCCAAUGAGACAACUAUCCACAAAAGACCAAAAUGACACAGAUAUUAACAACUAUAGGUCACCGUACAGCCUUCAACAAUGAGCAAAGCCCAUACCGCAUAGUCAGCUAUAAUAGGCCCCAAUAAGACAAUGUAAAACAAUUCAAACGAGAAAACUAACGGCCUUAUUUAUGUAAAAAAAUGAACGAAAA
This 217-nucleotide long non-coding RNA is filed under the name Mytilus galloprovincialis (Mediterranean mussel). The record is from RNAcentral. Lineage: Eukaryota; Metazoa; Mollusca; Bivalvia; Mytilida; Mytilidae.